GCCACACGUCCGAAGAUCUCUCUCUCCCUUCGUCCUCAGCUUCUCCCCCCAGCGAAGACUCCAUCUUUCUCCACUGAAGCCGCGAAACAAGUUCACCGAGUUUUCUCCCCCAAGCUGCCGCACCUUCGUCCGCUUCUCCACUUUAGGCCAUGAUUCCCUGUAGCUCCACCCACCGAACUAAUUCAUUCAGUUCGGUCAACCAGCGAAGCUGGUGUUGACCGUGAAACCUCCACUCACCAAAACCCCAGCGGCUUCUUCAUCCACGACUCAGCAUCAACGCCAACGGACGCCCCCCAUCUCCACCGAAAUCUCCUUGCCACCCGUCCAACGUCUGCGCUCUCUCGGUCAACCAGCAAGUCACCGAAUUCCUUGGUUGACUGAGCAAUUCCUGCCGCUGCCACGUCCACCGACAAUCUUCAAGCAGCCACGUCCAAUGAAGCUGCAGCUUCCACUGAAGACUCUUCAUCCGCGCCUCUUCUUCUUCAGCCGCGCGAGGCCUUCCACUGAAGAAGACUCACGUCCGUGGACUUAAGCGAAUUGAAGACCCCAGCGAAGCCACGUUGCGUCUUCUUCCCACGUCCAUCGACGCCAACAGCUGCUCCCCAUCUCUGCCACGUUUCGGUCCAUUUCACCGGUCAAGACCCAGCUGAAAACCGCUGAAGAUUGACCGAAGAAAUCCCCCACCGAGCGAAGCUGCAUCUUGUCCCCUUGUUGCCAGCGAAGCUCGAAGAUUCCAGUGCACGCCAGCAGCUGCUUCUCCAGUUCGUGGGCCAACCGCAGCAGCCCAGCCCACGCGUGACACCAGCUCCAACAGUCUUCGGUCUUCUCCAGCGGCCUGCCCUUAGCCCAACACUUUCAAUCAUUUGGGCCCAGUAAAGUUCAGUCCAGCUGAGGGCCAUUUCAAGCCCAGUCAAAUUACUUCAGCUGCAGCCCAGCCCAGUCCACGUGAGUUAAUUGGCCAAGCCCAAUUUCCAGCAAAGCAAUUGAAGUCCAGCCCAUAUCUUGAAGCCUAGUUCAGUUUUGUUUCAAGCCCAUCUCAGCCCGAGUGUCGAGUCCAACAUCAUUUGUAUUUCAGCAAGGCCCAGCAAGUUCAGCCUAUCUUGGGCCCGUGAAGCAAGUCGGCCCAAGGCCAGCCUUUGUUGUGGGCUUGUGAGGCUUGUAGGCCCGGCUCGAGUGUCUAUCGUCGCCGCCGAAACUUUGGAAUUCGGCCGCCAUCGCGGUUUUCGAUCUUCGCUUUACCAAGACCCGGAUAAGGAGCUUAAGGAGGAGGAACCUGACGAGGAAAACCGUGAGGAGAAAGAACUCAAAGAGGAGUAUCUGAAAGAGAACCCCAAGGAUGAUCCAGAGUAGGAUCCUGAUGACUAUUGCUUUAGAAUCUAAUUGAGUAGAAACCAACCUUUUUAGCAUGGUUUGUCUAUGUACAUGUAUGACUGAGUCAUUAUAGAUGUACAUAAGGGUGUUGACUUUUAGGUUCAAUUUUCUAGUCCUACUUAUCUAUCUCAUUGUUUUAUUGUCUG
Eucalyptus grandis is the source of this 1517-nucleotide long non-coding RNA. RefSeq lists it as uncharacterized. Lineage: Eukaryota; Viridiplantae; Streptophyta; Magnoliopsida; Myrtales; Myrtaceae. The transcript has 2 exons. The record is from RefSeq and is a predicted model, not a curated record.